ACCUUGAUGUGACUCCGGCGC
This 21-nucleotide unclassified non-coding RNA is filed under the name Chlamydomonas reinhardtii. RNAcentral describes it as "small RNA Cre_0287". Lineage: Eukaryota; Viridiplantae; Chlorophyta; Chlorophyceae; Chlamydomonadales; Chlamydomonadaceae. The record is from RNAcentral.